Molecule: ribosomal RNA, 1372 nt
Filed under: uncultured bacterium
Lineage: Bacteria
Description: bacterial SSU rRNA
Rfam family: Bacterial small subunit ribosomal RNA
Source: RNAcentral
GAUGAACGCUGGCGGCGUGCCUAAUACAUGCAAGUCGAGCGAACGGACGAGAAGCUUGCUUCUCUGAUGUUAGCGGCGGACGGGUGAGUAACACGUGGAUAACCUACCUAUAAGACUGGGAUAACUUCGGGAAACCGGAGCUAAUACCGGAUAAUAUUUUGAACCGCAUGGUUCAAAAGUGAAAGACGGUCUUGCUGUCACUUAUAGAUGGAUCCGCGCUGCAUUAGCUAGUUGGUAAGGUAACGGCUUACCAAGGCAACGAUGCAUAGCCGACCUGAGAGGGUGAUCGGCCACACUGGAACUGAGACACGGUCCAGACUCCUACGGGAGGCAGCAGUAGGGAAUCUUCCGCAAUGGGCGAAAGCCUGACGGAGCAACGCCGCGUGAGUGAUGAAGGUCUUCGGAUCGUAAAACUCUGUUAUUAGGGAAGAACAUAUGUGUAAGUAACUGUGCACAUCUUGACGGUACCUAAUCAGAAAGCCACGGCUAACUACGUGCCAGCAGCCGCGGUAAUACGUAGGUGGCAAGCGUUAUCCGGAAUUAUUGGGCGUAAAGCGCGCGUAGGCGGUUUUUUAAGUCUGAUGUGAAAGCCCACGACUCAACCGUGGAGGGUCAUUGGAAACUGGAAAACUUGAGUGCAGAAGAGGAAAGUGGAAUUCCAUGUGUAGCGGUGAAAUGCGCAGAGAUGUGGAGGAACACCAGUGGCGAAGGCGACUUUCUGGUCUGUAACUGACGCUGAUGUGCGAAAGCGUGGGGAUCAAACAGGAUUAGAUACCCUGGUAGUCCACGCCGUAAACGAUGAGUGCUAAGUGUUAGGGGGUUUCCGCCCCUUAGUGCUGCAGCUAACGCAUUAAGCACUCCGCCUGGGGAGUACGACCGCAAGGUUGAAACUCAAAGGAAUUGACGGGGACCCGCACAAGCGGUGGAGCAUGUGGUUUAAUUCGAAGCGACGCGAAGAACCUUACCAAAUCUUGACAUCCUUUGACAACUCUAGAGAUAGAGCUUUCCCCUUCGGGGGACAAAGUGACAGGUGGUGCAUGGUUGUCGUCAGCUCGUGUCGUGAGAUGUUGGGUUAAGUCCCGCAACGAGCGCAACCCUUAAGCUUAGUUGCCAUCAUUAAGUUGGGCACUCUAAGUUGACUGCCGGUGACAAACCGGAGGAAGGUGGGGAUGACGUCAAAUCAUCAUGCCCCUUAUGAUUUGGGCUACACACGUGCUACAAUGGACAAUACAAAGGGCAGCGAAACCGCGAGGUCAAGCAAAUCCCAUAAAGUUGUUCUCAGUUCGGAUUGUAGUCUGCAACUCGACUACAUGAAGCUGGAAUCGCUAGUAGUCGUAGAUCAGCAUGCUACGGUGAAUACGUUCCCGGGUCU